AACGAACGCUGGCGGCAGGCUUAACACAUGCAAGUUGAACGGGAUUUGUGUGGUGCUUGCACCAUAUAAUGAGAGUAGCGCACUGGUGAGUAACACGUGGGAACGUACCUUUGGUGGGGGACAACAUCUGGAAACGGAUGCUAAUACCGCAUAAGACCUGAGGGUGAAAGAUUUAUCGCCGAAAGAACGGCCCGCGGAAGAUUAGGCAGUUGGUGGGGUAAAGGCCUACCAAACCUACGAUCUAUAGCUGGUCUGAGAGGACGAUCAGCCACACUGGAACUGAGACACGGUCCAGACUCCUACGGGAGGCAGCAGUGAGGAAUAUUGGGCAAUGGAGGCAACUCUGACCCAGCCAUGCCGCGUGAGUGAAGAAGGUUUUCGGAUUGUAAAGCUCUUUCGGAUGUGACGAUGAUGACGGUAGCAUCUAAAGAAGCCCCGGCUAACUUCGUG
This 450-nucleotide ribosomal RNA is filed under the name uncultured bacterium. Its description in RNAcentral is "bacterial SSU rRNA". It matches the Rfam family "Bacterial small subunit ribosomal RNA", at positions 29 to 507 of the family's 1533-position model. The record is from RNAcentral.